Molecule: ribosomal RNA, 502 nt
Filed under: uncultured bacterium
Lineage: Bacteria
Description: partial 16S ribosomal RNA
Rfam family: Bacterial small subunit ribosomal RNA
Source: RNAcentral
AUUGAACGCUGGCGGCAUGCCUUACACAUGCAAGUCGAACGGCAGCAUAGGAGCUUGCUCCUGAUGGCGAGUGGCGAACGGGUGAGUAAUAUAUCGGAACGUGCCCUAGAGUGGGGGAUAGCUAGUCGAAAGACUAGCUAAUACCGCAUACGAUCUACGGAUGAAAGUGGGGGAUCGCAAGACCUCAUGCUCCUGGAGCGGCCGAUAUCUGAUUAGCUAGUUGGUGGGGUAAAAGCCUACCAAGGCAACGAUCAGUAGCUGGGCUGAGAGGACGACCAGCCUCACUGGAACUGGGACACGGCCCAGACUCCUACGGGAGGCAGCAGUGGGGAAGUUUGGACAAGGGGGGCAACCCUGAUCCAGCAAUGCCGCGUGAGUGAAGAAGGCCUUCGGGUUGUAAAGCUCUUUUGUCAGGGAAGAAACGGUAGUAGCGAAUAACUACUACUAAUGACGGUACCUGAAGAAUAAGCACCGGCUAACUACGUGCCAGCCGCCGCGGUAA